Molecule: ribosomal RNA, 497 nt
Filed under: uncultured bacterium
Lineage: Bacteria
Description: partial 16S ribosomal RNA
Rfam family: Bacterial small subunit ribosomal RNA
Source: RNAcentral
GAUGAACGCUGGCGGCGUGCCUAAUACAUGCAAGUCGAGCGAACAGACGAGGAGCUUGCUCCUCUGACGUUAGCGGCGGACGGGUGAGUAACACGUGGAUAACCUACCUAUAAGACUGGGAUAACUUCGGGAAACCGUAGCUAAUACCGGAUAAUAUAUUGAACCGCAUGGUUCAAUAGUGAAAGACGGUUUUGCUGUCACUUAUAGAUGGAUCCGCGCCGCAUUAGCUAGUUGGUAAGGUAACGGCUUACCAAGGCAACGAUGCGUAGCCGACCUGAGAGGGUGAUCGGCCACACUGGAACUGAGACACGGUCCAGACUCCUACGGGAGGCAGCAGUAGGGAAUCUUCCGCAAUGGGCGAAAGCCUGACGGAGCAACGCCGCGUGAGUGAUGAAGGUCUUCGGAUCGUAAAACUCUGUUAUUAGGGACGAAAAAAUGUGUAAGUAACUAUGCACGUCUUGACGGUACCUAAUCAGAAAGCCACGGCUAACUACGUG